GAUCAACUUCUUUGUAACGGUUAUGGUC
RNAcentral lists this non-coding RNA (28 nucleotides) under Mus musculus (house mouse). The record is from RNAcentral. Lineage: Eukaryota; Metazoa; Chordata; Mammalia; Rodentia; Muridae.